UGGGGAAUAUUGCACAAUGGGGGAAACCCUGAUGCAGCGACGCCGCGUGAACGAAGAAGGUAUUCGUAUCGUAAAGUUCUGUCCUAUGGGAAGAUAACGACAGUACCAUAGAAGAAAGCUCCGGCUAAAUACGUGCCAGCAGCCGCGGUAAUACGUAUGGAGCGAGCGUUGUCCGGAAUUAUUGGGCGUAAAGGGUACGCAGGCGGUUUAAUAAGUCGAAUGUUAAAGAUCGGGGCUCAACCCCGCAAAGCAUUGGAAACUGAUAAACUUGAGUAGUGGAGAGGAAAGUGGAAUUCCUAGUGUAGUGGUGAAAUACGUAGAUAUUAGGAGGAAUACCAGUAGCGAAGACGACUUUCUGGACACAAACUGACGCUGAGGUACGAAAGCGUGGGGAGCAAACAGG
This 403-nucleotide ribosomal RNA is filed under the name bacterium. RNAcentral's name for it is "partial 16S ribosomal RNA". It matches the Rfam family "Bacterial small subunit ribosomal RNA", at positions 355 to 776 of the family's 1533-position model. The record is from RNAcentral.